AGAGUUUGAUCCUGGCUCAGGAUGAACGCUAGCGGCAGGCUUAAUACAUGCAAGUCGAACGGCAAGGACCUUCGGGUCCCUAGAGUGGCGCACGGGUGAGUAACACGUACACAACAUGCCCUGUAUUGGGGGAUAGCAUCGGGAAACUGGUGGUAAUACCCCAUAGGAUGGUUUAGAGGCAUCUUUAAACCAUUAAAGAUAUAUUGAUACAGGAUUGGUGUGCGUCCCAUUAGCUAGUUGGUAGGGUAACGGCCUACCAAGGCGACGAUGGGUAGCUGGCGUGAGAGCGCGACCAGCCACACUGGAACUGAGACACGGUCCAGACUCCUACGGGAGGCAGCAGUAGGGAAUAUUGGACAAUGGGCGGAAGCCUGAUCCAGCCAUGCCGCGUGGAGGAAGACUGCCCUCUGGGUUGUAAACUCCUUUUGUACAGGAAGAAACCUCCUCAUUUAUGAGUGAGCUGACGGUACUGUAAGAAUAAGCACCGGCUAACUCCGUGCCAGCAGCCGCGGUAAUACGGAGGGUGCAAGCGUUAUCCGGAUUCACUGGGUUUAAAGGGUGCGUAGGCGGUUUUAUAAGUCAGUGGUGAAAUCAACGGGCUCAACCUGUUAACUGCCAUUGAUACUGUAGGACUUGAAUAUGAGAGAGGUAGGCGGAAUGUUGCAUGUAGCGGUGAAAUGCUUAGAUAUGCUACGGAACACCGAUUGCGAAGGCAGCUUACUAUCUCGUGAUUGACGCUGAGGCACGAAAGCGUGGGUAGCGAACAGGAUUAGAUACCCUGGUAGUCCACGCCCUAAACGAUGAUUACUCGACAUUGGCGAUAUUACAGUUCAGUGUCUGAGCGAAAGCGUUAAGUAAUCCACCUGGGGAGUACGCCCGCAAGGGUGAAACUCAAAGGAAUGACGG
RNAcentral lists this ribosomal RNA (906 nucleotides) under uncultured bacterium. RNAcentral's name for it is "bacterial SSU rRNA". It matches the Rfam family "Bacterial small subunit ribosomal RNA", at positions 8 to 916 of the family's 1533-position model. The record is from RNAcentral.